UACGUAGGGUGCAAGCGUUAAUCGGAAUUACUGGGCGUAAAGCGUGCGCAGGCGGUUUUAUAAGACAGAUGUGAAAUCCCCGGGCUCAACCUGGGAACUGCAUUUGUGACUGUAGAGCUGGAGUGCGGCAGAGGGGGAUGGAAUUCCGCGUGUAGCAGUGAAAUGCGUAGAUAUGCGGAGGAACACCGAUGGCGAAGGCAAUCCCCUGGGCCUGCACUGACGCUCAUGCACGAAAGCGUGGGGAGCAAACAGG
Molecule: ribosomal RNA, 253 nt
Filed under: uncultured bacterium
Lineage: Bacteria
Description: partial 16S ribosomal RNA
Rfam family: Bacterial small subunit ribosomal RNA
Source: RNAcentral